This 47-nucleotide ribosomal RNA is filed under the name Steinernema sp. CS3. RNAcentral's name for it is "partial 28S ribosomal RNA". The record is from RNAcentral. Lineage: Eukaryota; Metazoa; Nematoda; Chromadorea; Rhabditida; Steinernematidae.
ACAACCUCAAUUUAAGUGAGAUUACCCGCUGAACUUAGCAUAUGGGA